This is a non-coding RNA of Caenorhabditis elegans, 21 nucleotides long. NCBI's taxonomy places the organism in Eukaryota, Metazoa, Nematoda, Chromadorea, Rhabditida, Rhabditidae. The record is from Ensembl.
UUGAAGACUUAUUGAAAAUGU